RNAcentral lists this ribosomal RNA (439 nucleotides) under uncultured bacterium. RNAcentral's name for it is "partial 16S ribosomal RNA". It matches the Rfam family "Bacterial small subunit ribosomal RNA", at positions 338 to 795 of the family's 1533-position model. The record is from RNAcentral.
CCUACGGGCGGCAGCAGUGGGGAAUAUUGCACAAUGGGCGAAAGCCUGAUGCAGCAACGCCGCGUGAGCGAUGACGGCCUUCGGGUCGUUAAGCUCUGUCUUCAUGGAAGAUAAUGAUUGUACUUGAGAAGGAAGCUCUGGCUAACUACGUGCCAGCAGCCGUGGUAAUACGUCGGGGGCUGUGGUUAUCCGGAAUUACUGGGCGUAACGGGUGUGUAGGUGGUUUCUUAAGUCAGAGGUGAAAUGCUACGGCUCAACCGUAGUAAGCCUUUGAAACUGGGAGACUUGAGUGCAGUAGAGGAGAGUGGAAUUCCUGGUGUAGCGGUGAAAUGCGUAGAUAUUAGGAGGAACACCAGUUGCGAAGGCGGCUCUCUGGACUGUAACUGACACUGAGGCACGAAAGCGUGGGGAGCAAACAGGAUUAGAUACCCCAGUAGUC